Molecule: transfer RNA, 77 nt
Filed under: Bacilli bacterium
Lineage: Bacteria; Bacillati; Bacillota; Bacilli
Also listed under: 1 other name
Description: tRNA-Arg
Rfam family: tRNA
About the family: Transfer RNA (tRNA) molecules are approximately 80 nucleotides in length. Their secondary structure includes four short double-helical elements and three loops (D, anti-codon, and T loops). Further hydrogen bonds mediate the characteristic L-shaped molecular structure. tRNAs have two regions of fundamental functional importance: the anti-codon, which is responsible for specific mRNA codon recognition, and the 3' end, to which the tRNAs corresponding amino acid is attached (by aminoacyl-tRNA synthetases). tRNAs cope with the degeneracy of the genetic code in two manners: having more than one tRNA (with a specific anti-codon) for a particular amino acid; and 'wobble' base-pairing, i.e. permitting non-standard base-pairing at the 3rd anti-codon position.
Source: RNAcentral
GUGCUUGUAGCUCAGUUGGAUAGAGUGCAACCCUCCGAAGGUUGAGGCCAUGAGUUCGAGUCUCAUCAAGCACGCCA